UCAUCUCAAACCUUUCGCUUCUGAUCGCAAAGGUCUUGCGUUCGGCGAAGUCGUCUAUCGAGGCGGCGGUAGCUGAACCUAGACUUGGAAGUGUAUUGGUCUUGGACUUGAGCGUCUCGUCGGUCCGCUUGGAUCGACCCGCUUGAAAUGUAUUAGCUGGCGACCCGCCUUACGGUUCCACUCGGCGUAGUAAGUCUUAUUCGCCGAGGACGCCUCUUUGAGGUGGCCUAUGGGUUUGGUGUGAUGCCGCUUCCAGUCGUCUUUGGACAGUCUUGAAC
This 278-nucleotide unclassified non-coding RNA is filed under the name uncultured Epulorhiza. RNAcentral describes it as "partial internal transcribed spacer 2". Lineage: Eukaryota; Fungi; Basidiomycota; Agaricomycetes; Cantharellales; Tulasnellaceae. The record is from RNAcentral.